CUACGGGUGGCAGCAGUGAGGAAUAUUGCACAAUGGGGGGAACCCUGAUGCAGCAACGCCGCGUGGAGGAUGACGCAUUUCGGUGUGUAAACUCCUUUUAUAUGUCAAGAAAAUGACGGUACUAUAUGAAUAAGCGCCGGCUAACUCCGUGCCAGCAGCCGCGGUAAUACGGAGGGCGCAAGCGUUACUCGGAAUCACUGGGCGUAAAGGACGCGUAGGCGGGUUGGAAAGUCAGGUGUGAAAUCCUACAGCUUAACUGUAGAACUGCACUUGAAACUUCUAAUCUAGAGUAUGGGAGGGGGAGAUGGAAUUAGUGGUGUAGGGGUAAAAUCCGUAGAUAUCACUAGGAAUACCUAAAGCGAAGGCGAUCUCCUGGAACAUUACUGACGCUAAGGCGUGAAAGCGUGGGGAGCAAACAGGAUUAGAUACCCCAGUAGUC
This 439-nucleotide ribosomal RNA is filed under the name uncultured bacterium. RNAcentral describes it as "partial 16S ribosomal RNA". It matches the Rfam family "Bacterial small subunit ribosomal RNA", at positions 339 to 795 of the family's 1533-position model. The record is from RNAcentral.